UACGUAGGGGGCAAGCGUUGUCCGGAAUCAUUGGGCGUAAAGAGCGUGUAGGCGGCCCGAUAAGUCCGCUGUGAAAAGUCCAGGGCUCAACCCUGGAAUGCCGGUGGAUACUGUCGGGCUCGAAUCCGGAAGAGGUGAGUGGAAUUCCUGGUGUAGCGGUGAAAUGCGCAGAUAUCAGGAGGAACACCCGUGGCGAAGGCGGCUCUCUGGGACGGUACUGACGCUGAGACGCGAAAGCGUGGGGAGCGAACAGG
This 254-nucleotide ribosomal RNA is filed under the name uncultured bacterium. RNAcentral's name for it is "partial 16S ribosomal RNA". It matches the Rfam family "Bacterial small subunit ribosomal RNA", at positions 524 to 776 of the family's 1533-position model. The record is from RNAcentral.